CCUACGGGAGGCAGCAGUGAGGAAUAUUGGUCAAUGGACGAGAGUCUGAACCAGCCAAGUAGCGUGAAGGAUGACUGCCCUAUGGGUUGUAAACUUCUUUUAUAAAGGAAUAAAACAAGGCACGUGUGCCUUUUUGCAUGUACUUUAUAAAUAAGGAUCGGCUAACUCCGUGCCAGCAGCCGCGGUAAUACGGAGGAUCCGAGCGUUAUCCGGAUUUAUUGGGUUUAAAGGGAGCGUAGAUGGGUUGUUAAGUCAGUUGUGAAAGUUUGCGGCUCAACCGUAAAAUUGCAAUUGAUACUGGCAGUCUCGAGUACAGUUGAGGUAGGCGGAAUUCGUGGUGUAGCGGUGAAAUGCUUAGAUAUCACGAAGAACCCCGAUUGCGAAGGCAGCUUACUAAACUGUGACUGACACUGAUGCUCGAAAGUGUGGGUAUCAAACAGGAUUAGAUACCCGGGUAGUC
RNAcentral lists this ribosomal RNA (460 nucleotides) under uncultured bacterium. RNAcentral's name for it is "partial 16S ribosomal RNA". It matches the Rfam family "Bacterial small subunit ribosomal RNA", at positions 338 to 795 of the family's 1533-position model. The record is from RNAcentral.